This 253-nucleotide ribosomal RNA is filed under the name uncultured bacterium. RNAcentral's name for it is "partial 16S ribosomal RNA". It matches the Rfam family "Bacterial small subunit ribosomal RNA", at positions 524 to 776 of the family's 1533-position model. The record is from RNAcentral.
UACGAAGGGGGCUAGCGUUGCUCGGAAUUACUGGGCGUAAAGCGCACGUAGGCGGGUCCUUAAGUCAGGGGUGAAAUCCUGGAGCUCAACUCCAGAACUGCCUUUGAUACUGAGGAUCUCGAGUUCGGGAGAGGUGAGUGGAACUGCGAGUGUAGAGGUGAAAUUCGUAGAUAUUCGCAAGAACACCAGUGGCGAAGGCGGCUCACUGGCCCGAUACUGACGCUGAGGUGCGAAAGCGUGGGGAGCAAACAGG